GAGUCGUAACAAGGUUUCCGUAGGUGCACCUGCGGAAGGAUCACUACCUUUCAGUACAGAAGAAUUGUGCAGGGACUCCCUCACAGUUCUUCCUGUAUAUCACCCUUGUCUUUUGCGCACUUAUGUUUCCUCGGCAGGCUUGCCUGCCGGUUGGACAAAAAAUUUAACCUUUUUAAUUUUCAAUCAGCGUCUGAAAUAAUUUAAUAAUUACAA
This 213-nucleotide unclassified non-coding RNA is filed under the name plant metagenome. RNAcentral describes it as "partial contains small subunit ribosomal RNA and internal transcribed spacer 1". The stretch from base 1 to 46 matches the Rfam family "Eukaryotic small subunit ribosomal RNA", at positions 1786 to 1831 of the family's 1831-position model. The record is from RNAcentral.